UUGAACGCUGGCGGCAGGCCUCACCCAUGCAAGUCGCGCGGAUGAAGGGAGCUUGCUCCUGGAUUCAGCGGCGGACGGGUGAGUAAUGCCUAGGAAUCUGCCUGGUAGUGGGGGAUAACGUCCGGAAACGGGCGCUAAUACCGCAUACGUCCUGAGGGAGAAAGUGGGGGAUCUUCGGACCUCACGCUAUCAGAUGAGCCUAGGUCGGAUUAGCUAGUUGGGGGGGUAAAGGCCUACCAAGGCGACGAUCCGUAACUGGUCUGAGAGGAUGAUCAGUCACACUGGAACUGAGACACGGUCCAGACUCCUACGGGAGGCAGCAGUGGGGAAUAUUGGACAAUGGGCGAAAGCCUGAUCCAGCCAUGCCGCGUGUGUGAAGAAGGUCUUCGGAUUGUAAAGCACUUUAAGUUGGGAGGAAGGGCAGUAAGUUAAUACCUUGCUGUUUUGACGUUACCAACAGAAUAAGCACCGGCUAACUUCGUG
This 483-nucleotide ribosomal RNA is filed under the name uncultured bacterium. RNAcentral's name for it is "partial 16S ribosomal RNA". It matches the Rfam family "Bacterial small subunit ribosomal RNA", at positions 30 to 507 of the family's 1533-position model. The record is from RNAcentral.